GUGGUAGCUCAGUGGUAGAUCACUUGCCUUGUGUGCCUGAGGCACUGGGUUCGAAACUCGGUACCACA
Molecule: transfer RNA, 68 nt
Filed under: Marmota monax (woodchuck)
Lineage: Eukaryota; Metazoa; Chordata; Mammalia; Rodentia; Sciuridae
Description: tRNA.Thr
Source: RNAcentral